AAUAUCCAAUAAUGCAUAUAGAUUCACCAUGUACAUAACAAUUUACACUAAGCAAAAAGAAAGCAUAUUGAAGAUGAAAACAAGCUGCAACACAGGAGCUGUAACGUACAACUACAAGCCAAAACGGAAAAGCCACGCUGCUGCAAUACAAAACACGGUUGAAACAGAAGAAGAAAACCAAACGGUAACGGCACAAAAUCAUGAAAACGACCAAAGUAAAAGGCAUUGCAAUCUAAAGCCGAUGCAAGCAUGAAAUGGCGAUGCCAGCUGCGGAAAAUGCAACAUCGAAAUGCAGUAAAAACGUAACAUGAACAGGAAGUAUCCAAAUGAAAAGCAGGAAAAACAAAAGGCCAAUAUAACUCACCGAAAAAACCGAACUGAAUCCAAGCUGAAUAACAAGCUCAACAUACUCAACCUUCAAAAACAGAAUUUUAUAACCUUCACUUCAAUAACCAAUUCUCAAAAGCUUAUUCUAACUGCCAUGAUACUUAUCAACUUAGAUUCUGAACAACAAUUCUAACCACUCUUCCAACAGAACUUUAACUGAACAAAAGUCUCUUCUUCAACCAACUUCUAACCGACUCUUAAACCAAUCCCUAACAGAAUGCUAACCAACCUCUAGAACCAUCUUCAACUUUCUUCGAUAGAACCUCUUAACAAUCAGCAUCACAGACCCCACUCUCCCAAAUUGAGUUCUGAAUCGCCCUCAAC
Molecule: long non-coding RNA, 711 nt
Filed under: Lathyrus oleraceus (garden pea)
Lineage: Eukaryota; Viridiplantae; Streptophyta; Magnoliopsida; Fabales; Fabaceae
Description: Pisum sativum (pea) long non-coding RNA (PSAT_LNC020481)
Source: RNAcentral